UGGGGAAUAUUGCACAAUGGGCGCAAGCCUGAUGCAGCCAUGCCGCGUGUGUGAAGAAGGCCUUCGGGUUGUAAAGCACUUUCAGCGAGGAGGAAGGUGGUGAACUUAAUACGUUCAUCAAUUGACGUUACUCGCAGAAGAAGCACCGGCUAACUCCGUGCCAGCAGCCGCGGUAAUACGGAGGGUGCAAGCGUUAAUCGGAAUUACUGGGCGUAAAGCGCACGCAGGCGGUUUGUUAAGUCAGAUGUGAAAUCCCCGGGCUCAACCUGGGAACUGCAUUUGAAACUGGCAAGCUAGAGUCUCGUAGAGGGGGGUAGAAUUCCAGGUGUAGCGGUGAAAUGCGUAGAGAUCUGAAGGAAUACCGGUGGCGAAGGCGGCCCCCCUGGACGAAGACUGACGCUCAGGUGCGAAAGCGUGGGGCAGCAAACAGGAUUAGAUACCCUGGUAGUCCACGCUGUAAACGAUGUCGAUUUGGAGGUUGUGCCCUUGAGGCGUGGCUUCCGGAGCUAACG
RNAcentral lists this ribosomal RNA (512 nucleotides) under uncultured bacterium. RNAcentral describes it as "partial 16S ribosomal RNA". It matches the Rfam family "Bacterial small subunit ribosomal RNA", at positions 355 to 857 of the family's 1533-position model. The record is from RNAcentral.